Long non-coding RNA from Cebus imitator (Panamanian white-faced capuchin), 182 nucleotides. RefSeq lists it as uncharacterized. NCBI's taxonomy places the organism in Eukaryota, Metazoa, Chordata, Mammalia, Primates, Cebidae. The record is from RefSeq and is a predicted model, not a curated record. The transcript is spliced from 5 exons.
UGUUGGUUAACUGGUUGUAUUGUUCUGUUCUCAUACUACUAAUAAAGUCAUACCUGAGACUAUGGGUAAUUUAUAAAGAAAACAAGGUUUAAUGGACUCACAGUUCCACCUGUCCAGGGAGGCCUCACAAUCAUAGCAGAAGGCAAGGAGGAGAAAGGCAUGUCUCACAUGGUGGCAGGCAA